UUGGAUGAUGUUUGAUGAGUAUUUAUGUUGUGGUAGACAUUUCUACCUUGUCUCUUUGUGGUUCAUGUUCCUUUCAUGGCUAAAGUAAACUGAAUUUGGGAAAAACGUGAUUUUGAGUGAGAUUUAGGACCAUUUUUCAAUCCUUUCUAAUUUCCAUCUGUGUCUGAGUCCUUCAUAAAAGUUGUAGGUCUAUCUCUUAGCUUUCCAACCCAUCCUCUUGUGUCCAAUUUGGAGAUAUAUAACUCAACUUAUGGCUAAAACACCCAUACUGACUCUGUUUGUGUCGGGC
This 289-nucleotide long non-coding RNA is filed under the name Jatropha curcas. Its description in RNAcentral is "long non-coding RNA (JCUR_LNC002233)". Lineage: Eukaryota; Viridiplantae; Streptophyta; Magnoliopsida; Malpighiales; Euphorbiaceae. The record is from RNAcentral.